RNAcentral lists this ribosomal RNA (253 nucleotides) under uncultured bacterium. RNAcentral describes it as "partial 16S ribosomal RNA". It matches the Rfam family "Bacterial small subunit ribosomal RNA", at positions 524 to 776 of the family's 1533-position model. The record is from RNAcentral.
GACAGAGGUGGCGAGCGUUGUUCGGAAUUACUGGGCUUAAAGGGCGCGUAGGCGGUGAUAUAAGUCUGGGGUGGAAUCUCACAGCUUAACUGUGGAACUGCCCUGGAAACUGUAUUGCUUGAGUCGGACAGGGGAAGGCGGAAUUCCAGGUGUAGCGGUGAAAUGCGUAGAUAUCUGGAGGAAGGCCUGUGGUGAAGACGGCCUUCUGGGUCUUGACUGACGCUGAGGCGCGAAAGCGUGGGUAGCAAACAGG